GGGACGCUUCCCCGCGCCGCCGCAGCCCCGCCCUCAGGCCAGCUCGGUGGCUCUGCGCGCCCAGGCCUGGGACGGAGAUGUAGCCGCGCCGCGCCCGUACAGGUGGCUGGGCUGCCCGCGAGCCAAGCAGCGCGCACAGGAUGCUGCCCCCAAGGACUCACCACUCUCCCUUCCCGCCCCACUGGUCCUCUCGGCCGCUCCGGCUCUGCUCUGGCAGCCGCCCGGCUUUCAGGCAGAUGGUUAAGUAGGCCGCACCCGGGCGCAGAGAACCGAGGACGCUGGAAUUUAAGGAGGAGCGAAGAAGGAUCAGCCCUGUUUCCCGCUUUUUCCCCAGGCACCUCUGAAGAGGGUGCGCGGCUGCUCUCCAAGUCCUCGGGCUCGGAGCUGGGCCGGGUACAGGGGCCUCAGGACAGCGACGCGCACACGCUGGGCACCUGUUAGAGCGGGGGCCCUACCUGCUGGGGCCUCAGCUUGGCCUCCUGGAUACAGGCACCUGGGCGGCAGUUGUAGGCUAAAGUGACCACAUCUGGCUUCAGGUUGUAAAGGAAAUCAAAAUGAGAAAGAGAGAAGAAAAGCAUGUGUGAGCCCCUCUCUGGGUCAGCUCUCCGGAGGACUCUAUUUCGGUAAGCCUCUCAGGGCUGCCAAACACCCCCAUGGCUCAGGACAGAGACCUGCUUCCCAGCCUUAGCAUUGCGAGGGAUCAUUCCACUUGAUAAGAUGCUGUUUCCAUAGAGAAAUACUCUAUUAUUUGAAUCCCAAGUCAACCUUUAUGAAAACUGCUAGAGUGGCUGAUAAACUUUUUUGUGUUUUAAAAAAACAAAGAAGUUCUCUGUGUGUCCACACACUAGCCUGCAUCCAUUUUAGGUACUUCUACCUUUGAAGAAAUGCUUCUCUACCAAAAAUUUAAAAUUUUUUAAAAAUCAGUUUAUGUAUAGUUUAAAAGAGAGUCCUUGAAACAACACCUCUCUGCUUGCCUGCUAGUCAGUCACUAACAUUUAAUUUUGUUUUGGUUUAGUUAAAUUGGGGGGGUUUGCAACCCCUUGAGGCAAAGAUUAAAUUAAUUCUCAAGUGGCAUACAAGCUGUGGUUUCAAAUCCUAACAUUUAGCACAGGGUUGCCUCUCUGUCCAUCCUGGUUCUGAUUCAUAGCUGGCCAGAUAGACACUCAAAUCCUUGCUGGAGUGGGUCCUGGAUGAGUGCACUCCACUGCCCACCAGGAUGUCCACAAGACAGGACCUAAGUGGCUUUCAUUCUCUAAGAUGCCAUUCUGGAUUGGAAACUCCAGACCUCAAAUCUAUUUAGAACUGGGCCCUGAGCUCCAGGAGAUCCUACCUCCUCAGUUCAUCCAGAUGUGGAGGAUGAGCCCCAUAAUUGAUCUUCUCAGGGAACUCCAACCCUGAGAAGAGCAUCACCUCCCAGGACACAGUGCUAUUGCUCUGCUGCUAGUGCAGGGGAUCUAUUCCAAGCACAGCACAAGUUCCUGCAUUGUUCUCAUUGUCCUUCAGUUCCCCAGAUGUGUCUGAGACUUUCUGUCUGUGCAAAGGCAAGGGAUAACCUGAAGGUCAGAGCCCCAUCUGACCUCAAGACUCUCAGGUCUAAAGAGUGGCACUUGUGGGGGCUCUGUACUCAAUCUCCACCCUCAGGAGGCUUCAGUGAUGUGAGUGGUACAGCCCUUGAGACCAUGUUCUCUGGUCCUGCCCUAGAUUUCUACCCCCACACAGCAGCCUACCUGGAAGAGCACCUGCAGUUCAACCCAACUGAGGCCUCACCUUUUUGAGUCAGCACUGCCUUCUGCCUUCUCAGCUCCUCUGGGAACCCCUUUGUUCCCAGGACUACCUAGAGGAGAAGCCAUGUCCUCACUGCCUGAAAGGUAGAUAGAUAAGACUCUCAAUAACACAUCUGCAAAGGUCUCUCUUAGCUCACCUUUAAUCUCAGUCUUCCAUCCCACAUGAUUGAGUGGGAUUUUAUGUCAGGCAAGGGGCCAGGGGUUGGGGAGUCAAAAAUAAACAAGAAGCUCAUGGUAUCUGCCAGAGGAAUUUAUUCUUUAAUUAAUUUACUCAUCAAAUGUGUAUUGAGCACCCACUUUUUGACCACCCUGGGGAGUGCCAAGUACUGGGGAGACAGUAAUGAAAACAGGUAUAACCCCUUCCAUCCUAAUAGCACCAUACAGUAGACGCAUGAUCCAUAGGGAGCGUGGACCUCAACCAAACCACUUAGCAAGUGGAGAAUUAUGAACUGUGAUAAAGAAUCAUAGGAUCAGGGCUGGGGUUGUAGCUCAGUGGUAGAGCACUUGCCUAGCACGUGCGAGGUCCUGGGUUCGAUCCUCAGCACCACAUAAAAAUAAAUAUACAAAAUAAAGGUAUUGUGUACAACUAAGAAAGAAAUAUUUAAAAAAAAAAAAAAAGAAUCACAGGAUCUUUCAAGAGUGGGGAGAGGGAGAACCAGGCUGAGUGGGAGGGGUGGAGAAAACAGGACCUGGACACACACCUAGCAGAACCUAGUUUGGUACUUAUCUUCCUCCUGAAACACCCUGGAGAAGGCUGCUCCCCGAACCCUAUCCCUUUCCUCCACACCCAGGAAAUCUGCCAGCCUCUCCACAUGGCCUCCUCCCUCUCUAAGGAUGCCAGGCGCCUUCUCUUGCCGCCUGUUGAUUGGUGACAGGAAACUGCAGUACCCUGUGUGGUCCCUGACUAAAAUUUCCAGGCAGCUGAGAGGUGGGGUUUCGCCCGUGAGGCUGUGGUAUCCCAGCCCUCUGUGCUCCAUCAGCCAUAGGAGGAGGAGCUGGGAUCGGGCACUUAAUAAAAGAACUCCUAGGAGUGAAGCUAUUGGGUUUGGCACAUUGACAUUUGCACACACUCACACACCAUCCUCCAUUCCCCUGGUUCUCUGGCCGUCUCAUUUUCAAGGCCUGGCAGGAUACAUCCCCAGCCCCCAUUCUUCAGAAGAAUGGCAGGGCCUGGGCAGCAGAGCCCCAGGCCUGGGACCCAUCCAACAAAACAGCCAUUCCAGACGCCUGGUCCUGACUGGCUUUGGCUUCUCUUCCACUCCACAGUCUGGCCUGAAUCUGGGUGGGAGAGGCUGCUCUGCUUCCAGGUAAGGACUCACCACCCUGGCAGCCAGAAGGCCUCCCCAGGAAACACCAGUACCCAGCAGCCCCUCCAUGGCCUAACCCUCCACAGACUGCUGAAAAGGCUGAGCAUCUCUGUGCUGCCCCUAGAGAGGGGUGCAGGACCCCUCAAAAGGGUGUCAAUACCACCUAUUCUGGUGGUUGGGAGGAGGGUGCUGUAUAAUGCCAGCAGUUUAACCCAGGCCUUGGCCUUAAGGAACAACUGUGGCCAGGGCCACCAACUGGCCUAAAUCCUCGGGCAGAACUUCAGUUUCAUGCCUCUUGGUCUUACAGGAGAGAACUCCAAGGUGGCCUGCCUGGAAGUCCCAGGGUCCCUCAACGGGCACACAAAUAUGGUUAUCCAGCUGCAGCUAUAGGCAAUAAGGCAGCCUACAAGCUCCAACAGCAUCUUUCUUCCUUUUCUCUUUACAGAUAUGGACAAGGUGGGUGCGUUUGUAAGUGGGGACCAAGGUUAACCCUUUAGUUGUUCCAUAUAGUAAGGCUAGAACCUUGGACUUGGGAAGUAUUUUUUAUACCUGUUUUCUUCCUAUGGCCCAGGGCCUUUGGGCCUUGUGGGUCUCUCAGUCUUUCCUGCUCCCUUCUGCUAGCACCCCACACUGAGGGUGGU
This 3732-nucleotide long non-coding RNA is filed under the name Marmota monax (woodchuck). The stretch from base 2263 to 2331 matches the Rfam family "tRNA". The record is from RNAcentral. Lineage: Eukaryota; Metazoa; Chordata; Mammalia; Rodentia; Sciuridae.